This 403-nucleotide ribosomal RNA is filed under the name uncultured bacterium. RNAcentral describes it as "partial 16S ribosomal RNA". It matches the Rfam family "Bacterial small subunit ribosomal RNA", at positions 30 to 526 of the family's 1533-position model. The record is from RNAcentral.
AUUGAACGCUGGCGGCAGGCCUAACACAUGCAAGUCGAGCGAGCGGCGGACGGGUGAGUAAUGUAUGGGGACUGCCCGAUAGAGGGCGAUAACUACUGGAUACGGUAGCUAAUACCGCAUACUAUCGGAUAACCCAUAUGGGAUUAGCUAGUAGGUGAGGUAAUGGCUCACCUAGGCGACGAUCCCCAGCUGGUCGGAGAGGAUGAUCAGCCACACUGGGACUGAGACACGGCCCAGACUCCUACGGAGGCAGCAGUGGGGAAUAUUGCACAAUGGGCGCAAGCCUGAUGGAGCAAUGCCGCGUGUAUGAAGAAGGCCUUAGGGUUGUAAAGUACUUUCAGUCGGGAGGCGGUACCGACAGAAGAAGCACCGGCUAACUCCGUGCCAGCAGCCGCGGUAAUAC